This 569-nucleotide long non-coding RNA is filed under the name Physcomitrium patens. RNAcentral's name for it is "long non-coding RNA (PPAT_LNC012824)". The record is from RNAcentral. Lineage: Eukaryota; Viridiplantae; Streptophyta; Bryopsida; Funariales; Funariaceae.
AAAGAAAUAAGUUUAUAUAUAAAAUUUUCCCUAUAGGGGCAAUUGCAUCAAUACAUAAGUCCUAAGCACCAAAGAAUAGCCAAAAUAAGAUAAAAAUAUUUGAAAAUCUUAUAUUUCUUUAAAGAAUUUUUUUUCUAAACUUCAAUAGUUCAUAUUUUACAAUUGGAAAGUCCAAAAAAAUUCAAAUUUUAUAUGAAGUACUAAUAUAUUUUAAAUAACUAUUAAAAAAAAUUAAUUAUAAAUUUACUCUAAAUCUUAUAAUAUUACCAAAAUCAUAACAAUAGCUUCAAACCCCUAUUUACAUACACCCACAUACAACUUUCUUUAUGUCUCACAAACUAAUCACUUGAAUACCACAAAAAUUGGUAUAUAUCUUCUUAUCCUAAUAAUUCACACUUUCAAAAACUUUGAGUUCAAAACUUAUCCAAAAACUUAAAAUAUGGCUCCAACUAUUACUAUCAAUAAAAUGAUUUACUUAUUACCCUUGAGUUACUUAUGUUGUCUUCAACUCCCUAUAAUUCCUUCAUACAAACUCUAAAUAUAAUAAUUCUCUUAUGAUAGAUGUAGAU